RNAcentral lists this microRNA precursor (80 nucleotides) under Bombyx mori (domestic silkworm). Its description in RNAcentral is "mir-2807 microRNA precursor family". It matches the Rfam family "mir-2807 microRNA precursor family". The record is from Rfam by way of RNAcentral. Lineage: Eukaryota; Metazoa; Arthropoda; Insecta; Lepidoptera; Bombycidae.
CAGCGUAAAAGUUGGAGUUGGAACGUUUGCCUACGUUUGCCGCUAGGGGCGCUGUUCCAACUGAAUACAAAUUUGAGUUA